This is a microRNA precursor of Gorilla gorilla gorilla (western lowland gorilla), 87 nucleotides long. The record is from Ensembl. NCBI's taxonomy places the organism in Eukaryota, Metazoa, Chordata, Mammalia, Primates, Hominidae.
UCUCAGGCUGUGACUCUGCAAAGGGAAGCCCUUUCUGUUGUCAGAAAGAAAAGAAAGCGCUUCCCUUUGCUGGGUUACGGUUUGAGA